Long non-coding RNA from Populus trichocarpa (black cottonwood), 945 nucleotides. RefSeq lists it as uncharacterized. The transcript is spliced from 2 exons. The record is from RefSeq and is a predicted model, not a curated record. Lineage: Eukaryota; Viridiplantae; Streptophyta; Magnoliopsida; Malpighiales; Salicaceae.
UAGUUUUUAAUGAACUACUAGAACCAAUUUAUAAGUACUCCCAAAAAAUUGUAUAUAAACGCAGAGGGAAUGAAGAACGAGAGGUCAGGUGAUUGAUGAUAAAAGAAACCGAACAAAAAAUGAAUAGAAAUCUUGUCAGUUGCUAGAAAAGCUUUAACGAAAGCUUACAAUCCAAAUUCUCUCACUAUCACUGAUAAACUAUUUUUUGCAGGUCUCUCUCUCUCUCUCUCUCUCUCUCUGUCGCCCAUGUUUUAAUUGUUCUAGACUAUCUUGUCUCUACAUAUACGAUGAUAUUUGUCCCCUUGCGUACGUAUAUUUUUGUGUGUUUUCGAGGUUUGUCAUGGUCAGUUGACGAGAAGUCAUUAAAAGAUGCUUUCUCUUCCUUUGGAGAUGUCUCACUGAAGGAACUACUACUUUGGCAAACCUGGUAAUAAUCCCAAAACACCACUACCUCGAUUAGUGCCUACUUGGGCUCUCAAAUUGUUAUGUGAACCACUUGUUCGAUGAAUUGUCUCGCUGAAUAUUUCAAUCAAUCCCUUUUGUUCAAUCUAAUCUGAUAGGCGGUGAUCUCUAAUUCAUUGGGAUGGUUGUGGUUUAGUGAGGAUAUUGUAUGAUAAAGACAGUGGCAGAUCGGUUUGUCAGUUUUUCUAAAGAAGAUGAGGCUGUUUCUGCAAAAGAUGCAAUGGAUUGGAAGGCAUUGUUAGGUCGUCCAUUGAGGAUAAGCUAUGCUCUGAAGGAGUUCGAGGCGGACCAGUCGGUGUCCCUCGCCUUCCAAAUGGAGGAGAUGGUGCCUCUAAUGGCAAUGCUUGAGCUUCUCCGAAUUUAUCUAGCAUAACGAGAGGGGAAGAUCAAAAUUAAAAAUAAAGAUUUUUGUUUCCAUAUUAUUGUAUGAUUGAUGAGCUUAUUUGUACAGGUGAGUUUGGCAAAACUAUCGUUGUUUUUAAA